Molecule: unclassified non-coding RNA, 145 nt
Filed under: soil metagenome
Description: partial internal transcribed spacer 1
Source: RNAcentral
UAAUAAGUGUUUUGUGGCACUUUUUAAAUCCAUAUCCACCUUGUGUGCAAUGUCAGUCGAUCUUCUUCAUGGAGAUCGACCAAACAUCAACCUUUAUUUUUUAACUCUUUGUCUGAAAAAUAUUAUGAAUAUACAAUUCAAAAUA